RNAcentral lists this ribosomal RNA (503 nucleotides) under uncultured bacterium. RNAcentral's name for it is "bacterial SSU rRNA". It matches the Rfam family "Bacterial small subunit ribosomal RNA", at positions 94 to 630 of the family's 1533-position model. The record is from RNAcentral.
AGUGGCGCACGGGUGAGUAACAGGGAAUAAUCUACCUCCGAGUGGGGAAUAACUGAGAGAAAUCUUAGCUAAUACCGCAUAACACUUACGAGUCAAAGCAGCAAUGCGCUUGGAGAGGAGUUCGCGGCCGAUUAGUUAGUUGGCGGGGUAAUGGCCCACCAAGACGAUGAUCGGUAUCCGGCCUGAGAGGGCGCACGGACACACUGGAACUGAAACACGGUCCAGACUCCUACGGGAGGCAGCAGUGGGGAAUUUUGCGCAAUGGGGGAAACCCUGACGCAGCAACGCCGCGUGGAGGAUGAAGUAUCUUGGUACGUAAACUCCUUUCGAUUGGGAAGAUAAUGACGGUACCAAUAGAAGAAGCCCCGGCUAACUUCGUGCCAGCAGCCGCGGUAAUACGAGGGGGGCAAGCGUUGUUCGGAUUUAUUGGGCGUAAAGGGUGCGUAGGCGGUUUGGCAAGUCUUAUGUGAAAUCUUCAGGCUCAACCCGAAGUCUGCAUAAGA